Molecule: ribosomal RNA, 253 nt
Filed under: uncultured bacterium
Lineage: Bacteria
Description: partial 16S ribosomal RNA
Rfam family: Bacterial small subunit ribosomal RNA
Source: RNAcentral
UACGUAGGGGGCGAGCGUUAUCCGGAAUUACUGGGCGUAAAGCGCGCGCAGGCGGCCUGUUAAGUCGGGUGUGAAAGGCUGCGGCUCAACCGCAGAGCGGCAUCCGAAACUGGCGGGCUUGAGUGCAGGAGAGGGAAGCGGAAUUCCCGGUGUAGCGGUGGAAUGCGUAGAGAUCGGGAGGAACACCAGUGGCGAAGGCGGCUUCCUGGCCUGUAACUGACGCUGAGGCGCGAAAGCGUGGGGAGCAAACAGG